This 497-nucleotide ribosomal RNA is filed under the name uncultured bacterium. Its description in RNAcentral is "partial 16S ribosomal RNA". It matches the Rfam family "Bacterial small subunit ribosomal RNA", at positions 28 to 507 of the family's 1533-position model. The record is from RNAcentral.
GAUGAAUGCUGGCGGCGUGCCUAAUACAUGCAAGUCGAGCGAACAGACGAGGAGCUUGCUCCUCUGACGUUAGCGGCGGACGGGUGAGUAACACGUGGAUAACCUACCUAUAAGACGGGUAUAACUUCGGGAAACCGGAGCUAAUACCGGAGAAUAUAUUGAACCGCAGGGUUCAUUAGUGAAAGACGGUUUUGCGGUCACUUAUAGAUGGAUCCGCGCCGCAUUAGCUAGUUGGUAAGGUAACGGCUUACCAAGGCAACGAGGCGUAGCCGACCGGCGAGGGUGAUCGGCCACCCUGGAACUUGGACACGGUCCAUGCUCCUACGGGAGGCAGCAGUAGGGAAUCUUCCGCAAUGGGCGAAAACCUGACGGAGCGACGCCGCGUGAGUGAUGACGGUCUUCGGAUCGUAAAACUCUGUUAUUAGGGAAGAACCACUGUGUCAGUAACUAUGCACGUCUUGACGGUACCUAAUCAGAAAGCCACGGCUAACUACGUG